UACGAAGGGUGCAAGCGUUACUCGGAAUUACUGGGCGUAAAGCGUGCGUAGGUGGUUUGUUAAGUCUGUUGUGAAAGCCCCGGGCUCAACCUGGGAAUGGCAAUGGAUACUGGCAAGCUAGAGUGCGGUAGAGGGUAGUGGAAUUCCCGGUGUAGCGGUGAAAUGCGUAGAGAUCGGGAGGAACACCAGUGGCGAAGGCGGCUACCUGGACCAGCACUGACACUGAGGCACGAAAGCGUGGGGAGCGAACAGG
RNAcentral lists this ribosomal RNA (253 nucleotides) under uncultured bacterium. RNAcentral's name for it is "partial 16S ribosomal RNA". It matches the Rfam family "Bacterial small subunit ribosomal RNA", at positions 524 to 776 of the family's 1533-position model. The record is from RNAcentral.